AGUGAACGCUGGCGGUAGGCCUAACACAUGCAAGUCGAACGGCAGCACAGUAAGAGCUUGCUCUUACGGGUGGCGAGUGGCGGACUGGUGAGGAAUACAUCGGAAUCUACUUUUUCGUGGGGGAUAACGUAGGGAAACUUACGCUAAUACCGCAUACGACCUACGGGUGAAAGCAGGGGAUCUUCGGACCUUGCGCGAUUGAAUGAGCCGAUGUCGGAUUAGCUAGUUGGCGGGGUAAAGGCCCACCAAGGCGACGAUCCGUAGCUGGUCUGAGAGGAUGAUCAGCCACACUGGAACUGAGACACGGUCCAGACCCCUACGGGAGGCAGCAGUGGGGAAUAUUGGACAAUGGGCGCAAGCCUGAUCCAGCCAUACCGCGUGGGUGAAGAAGGCCUUCGGGUUGUAAAGCCCUUUUGUUGGGAAAGAAAAGCAGCAGGUUAAUACCCCGCUGUUCUGACGGUACCCAAAGAAUAAGCACCGGCUAACUUCGUG
Molecule: ribosomal RNA, 492 nt
Filed under: uncultured bacterium
Lineage: Bacteria
Description: partial 16S ribosomal RNA
Rfam family: Bacterial small subunit ribosomal RNA
Source: RNAcentral